UCGGGAAUUUUGGGCAAUGGGCGAAAGCCUGACCCAGCAACGCCGCGUGAGGGAUGAAGUAUUUCGGUAUGUAAACCUCGAAAGAAUGGGAAGAAUAAAUGACGGUACCAUUUAUAAGCUCCGGCUAACUACGUGCCAGCAGCCGCGGUAAUACGUAGGUAGCAAGCGUUGUUCGGAUUUACUGGGCGUAAAGGGCGCGUAGGCGGCGCGGUAAGUCACUUGUGAAAUCUCUGAGCUUAACUCAGAACGGCCAAGUGAUACUGCUGUGCUAGAGUGCGGAAGAGGCAACCGGAAUUCUCGGUGUAGCGGUGAAAUGCGUAGAUAUCAAGAGGAACACCUGAGGCGAAGGCGGGUUGCUGGGCCGACACUGACGCUGAUGCGCGAAAGCCAGGGGAGCAAACG
RNAcentral lists this ribosomal RNA (402 nucleotides) under uncultured bacterium. Its description in RNAcentral is "bacterial SSU rRNA". It matches the Rfam family "Bacterial small subunit ribosomal RNA", at positions 355 to 774 of the family's 1533-position model. The record is from RNAcentral.